UGAUAGAGAGCGACAGAGAGACAGAAAAAGAAAGGAGAAGGGAGAAGGAGAGAGAGAGCGUGUGGUGGUGGUUUGUGAGAGAGACCGAGAGAGAGACAGAGAAAGAGAGGAGAAGGGAGAGAGGGGGAGAGAUCGAGAUUAAGACAAAAGGCCUUUAUUUUCAGACAGAAAUACUCCUCAGUUUCACCAGCUGGUCCCGGACGAUGCCACAGGUGAAGAAGCCAGAUGUGGAGGUCCUGGGCUGGCGUGGUUACACGUGGUCUACGGUUGUGAGGCCGGUUGGAGGUGGAUGGAUUAUCUUGGCAAAGGAGAACUGCUCACUAACAGGGAAUGUGGGCACAACAUUUGAGGGAAAUAAGGUUUCUGUGCAUCAGGAACAUUUCUGGUAUCUUUUAUUUCAGCUCAUGAAACAUGGGUCCAAAACUGUACAUGUUGUGUUUAUAUUUUUGUUUAGUAUAUAGAGGGGGAAUGGAGAGAUAGCUUUUACUCAAAUAUCCAAACCCAGCCUACCAAACAGUGAACUGAUAGCUGCCACAGACUGGAAAGCGACAUUGUAUCUGUUUGGCUUGGCUCUUAGGUGUCAAGCGUAGUUCAGCCCUGCUAAGGAACAGAGAGUGACAAUCACAAAGCUAUCCAGCUAGCACAUUCGGUUCCUUGGAAGUUGUGGGAAAGUAUGUUUUUGGUUUGACAUUGGUUGUGAGAAGAAAGCCAUAAGUGUCCUGAUCGAUAAAACUGAAUGUUCUGACAACAUAAGUGAAAAAACACACAAAACAAAGACUAUCCGUGCAUGUUUUUUCACUCACAAAUUACUUCCAGCAGCCAAAUAGUGCUCUGUGCACCCGCCAUUUGAAACAUCUGUUAAAACACCCAAUUAGUUUAAUGACAUUCGACGAUUGAUGACAUUCAGCGAUUGCAUUGAUGCGUCUGCUGCAGCCCGGGCGCUUCAGUCUCGGCCAGUCAUCUCCUCCAUGGAAAAAUGUCAGUGUUCUCAUCAAACCACACAGCAUUUUGGAGUGUAUAUACCACCUGUUGUCAAGUCCAUUCCCUCAUUUUUCAUGUGGCUGACAUUCGGUCACGAUAAAUA
Long non-coding RNA from Oncorhynchus masou masou (cherry salmon), 1084 nucleotides. RefSeq lists it as uncharacterized. Lineage: Eukaryota; Metazoa; Chordata; Actinopteri; Salmoniformes; Salmonidae. The record is from RefSeq and is a predicted model, not a curated record. The transcript is spliced from 3 exons.